AGCGAACGCUGGCGGCAGGCCUAACACAUGCAAGUCGAACGAACUCUUCGGAGUUAGUGGCGGACGGGUGAGUAACACGUGGGAACGUGCCUUUUGGUUCGGAAUAACUCAGGGAAACUUGUGCUAAUACCGAAUGUGCCCUUCGGGGGAAAGAUUUAUCGCCAUUAGAGCGGCCCGCGUCUGAUUAGCUAGUUGGUGAGGUAACGGCUCACCAAGGCGACGAUCAGUAGCUGGUCUGAGAGGAUGACCAGCCACACUGGGACUGAGACACGGCCCAGACUCCUACGGGAGGCAGCAGUGGGGAAUCUUGCGCAAUGGGCGAAAGCCUGACACAGCCAUGCCGCGUGAAUGAUGGAGGUCUUAGGAUUGUAAAAUUCUUUCACCGGGGACGAUAAUGACGGUACCCGGAGAAGAAGCCCCGGCUAACUUCGUG
Molecule: ribosomal RNA, 433 nt
Filed under: uncultured bacterium
Lineage: Bacteria
Description: partial 16S ribosomal RNA
Rfam family: Bacterial small subunit ribosomal RNA
Source: RNAcentral